RNAcentral lists this ribosomal RNA (256 nucleotides) under uncultured organism. RNAcentral describes it as "partial 16S ribosomal RNA". It matches the Rfam family "Bacterial small subunit ribosomal RNA", at positions 524 to 776 of the family's 1533-position model. The record is from RNAcentral.
AACGAAGGGAGCUAGCGUUACUCGGAAUAAUUGGGCGUAAAGCGUGUGAAGGUUGUUUUUAUUUACAUAUACAGAAAGAUAAAGGAUGUAAGCUUUUAUAACGUAUAUUUGAUUAUAUUACUUGAGUUUAAAAAAAGAUAGUCGUAUUUCUAGUUUAAGGUUAGAAUCUAUUGAAAUUAGAAAGACGGUCAUUAGGUGUAGACUACUAUCUUUUAUAAACUGACACUAAAGCACAAAAGUAUGGGUAGCGAAUAGG